Molecule: ribosomal RNA, 847 nt
Filed under: uncultured archaeon
Lineage: Archaea
Description: bacterial SSU rRNA
Rfam family: Archaeal small subunit ribosomal RNA
Source: RNAcentral
AGUUGUAGAAUCACUGGUGAAUAAGGGGUGGGCAAGUUCUGGUGUCAGCCGCCGCGGUAAAACCAGCACCUCGAGUGGUCAGGAGGUUUAUUGGGCCUAAAGCAUCCGUAGCCGGUUGCAUAAGUUUUCGGUUAAAUCUAUGCGCUAAACGUAUAGGCCGCCGAAAAUACUGUGCAGCUAGGGAGUGGGAGAGGUACACGGUACUCGAUAGGAAGGGGUAAAAUCCUUUGAUCUAUUGAUGACCACCUGUGGCGAAGGCGGUGUACCAGAACACGUUCGACGGUGAGGGAUGAAAGCUGGGGGAGCAAACCGGAUUAGAUACCCGGGUAGUCCCAGCUGUAAACGAUGCAGACUCGGUGAUGCAUUGGCUUGUGGCCAAUGCAGUGCCGCAGGGAAGCCGUUAAGUCUGCCGCCUGGGAAGUACGUACGCAAGUAUGAAACUUAAAGGAAUUGGCGGGGGAGCACCACAAGGGGUGAAGCCUGCGGUUCAAUUGGAGUCAACGCCAGAAAUCUUACCUGGGGAGACAGCAGAACGAAGGUCAAGCUGAAGACUUUACCAGACACGCUGAGAGGUGGUGCAUGGCCGUCGCCAGCUCGUGCCGUGAGAUGUCCUGUUAAGUCAGGUAACGAGCGAGACCCCUGCGUCUAGUUGCUACCAUUACUCUCUGGAGCAGUGGAGCGAAUUAGACGGACCGCCACAGUUAAUGUGGAGGAAGGAAGGGGCCACGGCAGGUCAGUAUGCCCCGAAACCCUAGGGCUACACGCGGGCUGCAAUGGUAUUGACAAUGUGUUCCGAAUCCGAAAGGAGGAGGCAAUCAUCAAACAUAUCUCAGUUAUGACUGAGGGC